GGCGGCAGGCCUAACACAUGCAAGUCGAGCGCGUGUCGCAAGACACGAGCGGCAGACGGGAGGGUAACACGUGGGAACGUACCCUUUGGUUCGGAACAACCCAGGGAAACUUGGGCUAAUACCGAAUAAGCCCUUACGGGGAAAGAUUUAUCGCCGAAGGAUCGGCCCGCGUCUGAUUAGCUAGUUGGUGGGGUAACGGCCCACCAAGGCGACGAUCAGUAGCUGGUCUGAGAGGAUGAUCAGCCUCACUGGGACUGAGACACGGCCCAGACUCCUACGGGAGGCAGCAGUGGGGAAUAUUGGACAAUGGGCGCAAGCCUGAUCCAGCCAUGCCGCGUGGGUGAUGAAGGCCCUAGGGUUGUAAAGCCCUUUCGGCGGGGAAGAUAAUGACGGUACCCGCAGAAGAAGCCCCGGCUAACUUCGUGCCAGCAGCCGCGGUAAUACGAAAGGGGCUAGCGUUGCUCGGAAUCACUGGGCGUAAAGCGCACGUAGGCGGAUUGUUAAGUCAGGGGUGAAAUCCUGGAACUCAGCUCCA
This 535-nucleotide ribosomal RNA is filed under the name uncultured Alphaproteobacteria bacterium. RNAcentral describes it as "bacterial SSU rRNA". It matches the Rfam family "Bacterial small subunit ribosomal RNA", at positions 38 to 617 of the family's 1533-position model. The record is from RNAcentral. Lineage: Bacteria; Pseudomonadati; Pseudomonadota; Alphaproteobacteria.